CCUACGGGAGGCAGCAGUGGGGAAUAUUGCACAAUGGGGGAAACCCUGAUGCAGCGACGCCGCGUGAGUGAAGAAGUAUCUCGGUACGUAAAGCUCUAUCAGCAGGGAAGAAAAUGACGGUACCUGACUAAGAAGCCCCGGCUAACUACGUGCCAGCAGCGGCGGUAAUACGUAGGGGGCAAGCGUUAUCCGGAUUUACUGGGUGGAAAGGGAGCGUAGACGGCAGCACAAGUCUGGAGUGAAAUCCCGGGGCUUAACCCCGGAACUGCUUUGGAAACUGUGCGGCUGGAGUGCAGGAGGGGUAAGCGGAAUUCCUAGUGUAGCGGUGACAUGCGUAGAUAUUAGGAGGAACCCCGGUGGCGAAGGCGGCUUACUGGACUGUAACUGACGUUGAGGCUCGCAAGCGUGGGGAGCAAACAGGAUUAGAUACCCCUGUAGUC
This 440-nucleotide ribosomal RNA is filed under the name uncultured bacterium. RNAcentral's name for it is "partial 16S ribosomal RNA". It matches the Rfam family "Bacterial small subunit ribosomal RNA", at positions 338 to 795 of the family's 1533-position model. The record is from RNAcentral.